Molecule: ribosomal RNA, 484 nt
Filed under: uncultured bacterium
Lineage: Bacteria
Description: partial 16S ribosomal RNA
Rfam family: Bacterial small subunit ribosomal RNA
Source: RNAcentral
AUUGAACGCUGGCGGCAGGCCUAACACAUGCAAGUCGAGCGGAUGAAGGGAGCUUGCUCCUGGAUUCAGCGGCGGACGGGUGAGUAAUGCCUAGGAAUCUGCCUGGUAGUGGGGGAUAACGUCCGGAAACGGGCGCUAAUACCGCAUACGUCCUGAGGGAGAAAGUGGGGGAUCUUCGGACCUCACGCUAUCAGAUGAGCCUAGGUCGGAUUAGCUAGUUGGUGGGGUAAAGGCCUACCAAGGCGACGAUCCGUAACUGGUCUGAGAGGAUGAUCAGUCACACUGGAACUGAGACACGGUCCAGACUCCUACGGGAGGCAGCAGUGGGGAAUAUUGGACAAUGGGCGAAAGCCUGGUCCAGCCAUGCCGCGUGUGUGAAGAAGGUCUUCGGAUUGUAAAGCACUUUAAGUUGGGAGGAAGGGCAGUAAGUUAAUAACUUGCUGUUUUGACGUUACCAACAGAAUAAGCACCGGCUAACUUCGUG